Molecule: transfer RNA, 75 nt
Filed under: bacterium
Lineage: Bacteria
Description: tRNA-Arg
Rfam family: tRNA
About the family: Transfer RNA (tRNA) molecules are approximately 80 nucleotides in length. Their secondary structure includes four short double-helical elements and three loops (D, anti-codon, and T loops).
Source: RNAcentral
CCGGCUAUGGUGUAAUGGAUAGCAUUGGAGGCUUCGAACCUCUCGAUCUCGGUUCGAUUCCGAGUAGCCGGGCCA